GCCCAAGUAGUAUAGUGGGUUAGUACUCCACGUUGUGGCCGUGGCGCGACACAGGUUCGAUUCCUGUCUUGGGCA
This is a non-coding RNA of Ostertagia ostertagi, 75 nucleotides long. Lineage: Eukaryota; Metazoa; Nematoda; Chromadorea; Rhabditida; Trichostrongylidae. The record is from the annotation of a GenBank genome assembly.